RNAcentral lists this ribosomal RNA (516 nucleotides) under uncultured Glomus. RNAcentral's name for it is "SSU rRNA". It matches the Rfam family "Eukaryotic small subunit ribosomal RNA", at positions 569 to 1085 of the family's 1831-position model. The record is from RNAcentral. Lineage: Eukaryota; Fungi; Glomeromycota; Glomeromycetes; Glomerales; Glomeraceae.
AGCAGCCGCGGUAAUUCCAGCUCCAAUAGCGUAUAUUAAAGUUGUUGCAGUUAAAAAAGCUCGUAGUUGAAUUUCGGGAUCAAUACGUCGGUCGUGCUUCGGUACGUACUGGCGUAAUUGAUUUCUCCCUUCUGACGAACCAUGAUGUCAUUAACUUGGUGUCAUGGGAAAUCAGGACUGUUACUUUGAAAAAAAUUAGAGUGUUUAAAGCAGGCUCACGCUUGAAUACAUUAGCAUGGAAUAAUGAAAUAGGACGUUUGAUUCUAUUUUGUUGGUUUCUAGGAUCGACGUAAUGAUUAAUAGGGAUAGUUGGGGGCAUUAGUAUUCAAUUGUCAGAGGUGAAAUUCUUGGAUUUAUUGAAGACUAACUAACUGCGAAAGCAUUUGCCAAGGAUGUUUUCAUUAAUCAAGAACGAAAGUUAGGGGAUCGAAGACGAUCAGAUACCGUCGUAGUCUUAACCAUAAACUAAUGCCGACUAGGGAUCGGAUGAUGUUAUUUUUAAUGACUCAUUACGCG